Molecule: long non-coding RNA, 303 nt
Filed under: Phoenix dactylifera (date palm)
Lineage: Eukaryota; Viridiplantae; Streptophyta; Magnoliopsida; Arecales; Arecaceae
Description: long non-coding RNA (PDAC_LNC007982)
Source: RNAcentral
CUAUAAGAUGAAGUGAUUAUAUUUCCAAAAGUAUUUUCUAUAUCUCAAAAUUGGUCAAUACUUGCAAUUCAUAUUUUAAUCAAAUACUAAAGCAAAAAUAAUGAUGAGAUGCAAGGAUUACUGAUUUCAUUAUUAUUAUUAUUAUUUAUUUUUUAUUUAAAAUUACUUUUCAUAAGUAUGUUUUAAGUUUUAUUUUUUGACGUGUGUCUAGAACACCCAUUUGUAUGAAUCUAUUUGUUCCAUGGGUAUCUUGGCACAUCUAUGUCUACAUCCUCAUAUUUUCAUUUUGGGUACCCAAGCUUG